UUAAAUGCUUUGAAGGGAAGAGUAGACGUUAGAAUGUUCUUAAAGCGAAUCAGGGAUGGUGAGAGCCUGAAGAAAUACUAAAGUUGAAAGACAUCCUGGAGCAGAUUAUCUGAAAGCGUUACAGUUAUUAGGAUAAUUCGGUUGGUCACCGUUAAAGAUAUGAGGGAACUAUUUAUGAAUGAUAAUUGGUUAAUAAGAAUGGUACCGUGGGUAAUAUAGCUCACUUCUUAA
Molecule: non-coding RNA, 231 nt
Filed under: Clostridium tepidiprofundi
Lineage: Bacteria; Bacillati; Bacillota; Clostridia; Eubacteriales; Clostridiaceae
Description: T-box sequence
Rfam family: T-box leader
About the family: Uncharged tRNA acts as the effector for transcription antitermination of genes in the T-box leader family. T-boxes are found upstream of many aminoacyl-tRNA synthetase genes and some amino acid biosynthetic genes usually in Gram-positive bacteria.
Source: RNAcentral